GCCAACUACGUGCCAGCAGCCGCGGUAAUACGUAGGGUGCGAGCGUUGUCCGGAAUUACUGGGCGUAAAGAGCUCGUAGGCGGUUUGUCGCGUCGUCUGUGAAAACCCGCAGCUCAACUGCGGGCUUGCAGGCGAUACGGGCAGACUUGAGUACUGCAGGGGAGACUGGAAUUCCUGGUGUAGCGGUGAAAUGCGCAGAUAUCAGGAGGAACACCGGUGGCGAAGGCGGGUCUCUGGGCAGUAACUGACGCUGAGGAGCGAAAGCGUGGGUAGCGAACAGGAUUAGAUACCCCUGUAGUC
This 300-nucleotide ribosomal RNA is filed under the name uncultured Rhodococcus sp. Its description in RNAcentral is "bacterial SSU rRNA". It matches the Rfam family "Bacterial small subunit ribosomal RNA", at positions 496 to 795 of the family's 1533-position model. The record is from RNAcentral. Lineage: Bacteria; Bacillati; Actinomycetota; Actinomycetes; Mycobacteriales; Nocardiaceae.